This 2032-nucleotide long non-coding RNA is filed under the name Homo sapiens (human). RNAcentral's name for it is "HSALNT0042379". The record is from RNAcentral. Lineage: Eukaryota; Metazoa; Chordata; Mammalia; Primates; Hominidae.
GCUUCAAUAGGCUAGAUUUUCAUCCAGUUGCCUUUUCAUUUCCUUUUUUUUUUUUAAAUCUCUCCUUCUACUGACCUCUGCCAUUUUAAAAAUCAUUUUUAUGCGAUGCUGGGCAAGUCACUUAGCCUUAAUGCGUCUGGCUUUGUUACCUAGAUACGAAUAACUUUACCUGAAGAACUGUUGUGAUUAAUAUAUUUAAAAGUGCUUCACUUCAUUCCUUUUACAUAGUGGUGUGAUUGGUGAGUGCCUUAUGAAGACUGGUCUUCCUGGGAUUCCUGGACAAAACCUGCAGACAGCUUCUAAGCUAAUUUGAGCUUUUGAGAAGCGGAUACCCUCAGUGAUUAAACUGUGUGGGAUUUUGAAUCCUAGUUCUACCACUCGUUGGCUGUAUGAUGGAAGAUGCUUUGGCCAUACAUUGGAAAAAGGAGAACAAACGCAGUACUGUUAUGAAAUAAACUUUAAACACCAACUCACCGACUGGCAACAUCAGUUAUGCCAGUCUUCUUCAGAGUGGGAUGCACAGCCCACAGGGGAGCAUCGAAAGUGGAGAGAGAAAAUAUUAAAACAUCAAGAAUGAAAUCAAGCUUUUCAGACAGUUAAAACUUGGAUUGACACUGGCUUCUGCACUGAGCCAUGAGAGAAUGAAACAGCCUCUAAGAAGAACAGGAAUCCACAGCAAGUCGUUGAUCAUGAUGUCUUCCCUCUUGCAUUUGCUUUCAACAUUUUGUGACACACUGCAGCUUUCCUGCGUCUGAUUAAGCUGGUCUGGCUUAUACACCAAAUGGACAAUUUGUCGAAAAAGGUUUCUUCAACUAAACCAUAGUAUAAGACAUAAUUUAACUUUGUGACCUUAAACGCUUACCUACAACAUCCAUUGUGUCUCUAAUUCAGCAAACUCCAAUGUCUUCACUCAGUCUUUAUGCCCACACCUUAGUUGAAACUCUCCUUACUUGUAAUCUGGAUGGUUAGUAGAUACUGUCCUAAAUGAUCUUCCACCUUCAGUUUUACUCCUUUUGCAAUCUACUAGCUACCCUAAGCACACUCUUCAUUUAAUACACAUCAUGUGACACACAUGCCACUCUCUUGUUUGACAUCAUUUGUCUUUGUAGGCGCAGGUUACUGUAAUAAAAUACUACAGACUAGAUGGCUUAAGCAACAGAAACCGAUUUUCUUACAGUUCUUGUAUCUGGAAGUCUGCGAUUAGGGCAUCAGCAUGGUUGGGUUCUAGUGAGGACUCUCUUCCUGGCUUUCAGAUCCAACUUCUCGCUGUGUCCUCACAGGGCCUUUCCUUGGCACAUGCACUUGGAGAGAGAGAUUUCUCUCAUCCCCUUCUUAUAAAGCCACCAAUCCCAUCAGAUUAGGACUCCAUCCUUAUGACCUCAUUUAAUCUUAAUUACCUCCUAAAAGCCCUGUCUCUAAAUAGUGACACUGGAUGUGAGGACUCACCCCAUGGGACUGGGGGAGCAGGUAUAAUUCAGCCCACAGCAUCAUUCAUUGGUUCUCUAUCUUCCCUCUUGUUAGAUGCUGGGAUCCUGGUCAUGGUGUCUAAGGCUCUCCAUGAUCCCAUGCCAGCCUGUCCCUCCUGACUCAGCUCAAACUGUGCCUGAUCCAGUAUGUUGUGUUCAAGCCCUACUUAGCAGUUCCCCAGGGUAUACCAUGUUUUCUCUGGAUUCUCUGCCUUGUUUGUCAUCUUAUGCCCAUUUUGAAUAUUUUCUAUUCAUCCUUGUGAACAGGAAGUAGGCACAUUUUCCUCCAAGAAUUCUGCACUGGUAAUAAUUUCCUUUUACUCUAUUCCUUAUCCUUCUACCUUAAGUCUGUGUUAGAGGCCCUUCUUCUCUGCUCUCUGUGUAAGUUAAUAUCACACUACAUUAUAAUAAUUUGUUUACUUGCCUGCCCCCCAUUAGAUUAUAAACUCUUUGAGGGCAGUGCCCAUGUUUUAUUAUUCUUACUAUUAUUUCUAUUCUCAGUGGUUAAUAUUGGAUGGUUAGAUGUUAAACGAAUUCUUCUUACUGAAAAGUGUUUUAGUAUCACC